AGAGUUUGAUCAUGGCUCAGGACGAACGCUGGCGGCGUGCCUAAUACAUGCAAGUCGAACGCUUCUGCUUUAACUGAUGCUUGCAUCGACCUAAGUUAGAAGAGUGGCGAACGGGUGAGUAACACGUGGGUAACCUGUCCAUCAGAGGGGGAUAACACUUGGAAACAGGUGCUAAUACCGCAUAACACUAAAAACCGCAUGGUUUUUGGUUGAAAGGCGCUUCUGGUGUCGCUGAUGGAUGGACCCGCGGUGCAUUAGCUAGUCGGUGGGGUAACGGCCUACCGAGGCAAUGAUGCAUAGCCGACCUGAGAGGGUGAUCGGCCACAUUGGGACUGAGACACGGCCCAAACUCCUACGGGAGGCAGCAGUAGGGAAUCUUCGGCAAUGGACGCAAGUCUGACCGAGCAACGCCGCGUGAGUGAUGAAGGUUUUCGGAUCGUAAAACUCUGUUGUUAGAGAAGAACAAGAGAAGUAGUAACUGGCUUCUCCUUGACGGUAUCUAACCAGAAAGCCACGGCUAACUACGUGCCAGCAGCCGCGGUAAUACGUAGGUGGCAAGCGUUGUCCGGAUUUAUUGGGCGUAAAGCGAGCGCAGGCGGUCUUUUAAGUCUGAUGUGAAAGCCCACGGCUUAACCGUGGAGGGUCAUUGGAAACUGGGAGACUUGAGUGCAGAAGAGGAAAGUGGAACUCCAUGUGUAGCGGUGAAAUGCGUAGAUAUUAGGAAGAACACCGGUGGCGAAGGCGGCUUACUGGACUGAAACUGACGCUGAGUCACGAAAGCGUGGGGAGCGAACAGGAUUAGAUACCCUGGUAGU
RNAcentral lists this ribosomal RNA (815 nucleotides) under uncultured bacterium. RNAcentral describes it as "bacterial SSU rRNA". It matches the Rfam family "Bacterial small subunit ribosomal RNA", at positions 8 to 794 of the family's 1533-position model. The record is from RNAcentral.